Molecule: RNase P RNA, 342 nt
Filed under: Clostridia bacterium
Lineage: Bacteria; Bacillati; Bacillota; Clostridia
Description: RNase P RNA component class A
Rfam family: Bacterial RNase P class A
About the family: Ribonuclease P (RNase P) is a ubiquitous endoribonuclease, found in archaea, bacteria and eukarya as well as chloroplasts and mitochondria. Its best characterised activity is the generation of mature 5'-ends of tRNAs by cleaving the 5'-leader elements of precursor-tRNAs.
Source: RNAcentral
UGAGAUAAUUAUACGGUCGCGGGGCGCGAGAGCGCAAUGAGGAAAGUCCGAGCACCACAGGGCAGGAUGCCUGCUAACGGCAGGUGAAGGCGACUUUAAGGAAAGUGCAACAGAAAUAAACCGCAUCGCAAGAUGCAAGGGUGGAAAGGCGAGGUAAGAGCUCACCGACUUUACGGUAACGUAGAGUGCCAUGUAAACCCCAUCCGGUGCAAGAUUGGGAAUCAGUCGCAUAGGGCGGCUCGUCCGAUUGAUUCCGUGAAUAUCGCUUGACCCUAUCGGCGACGGUAGGGCUAGAUAAAUGACCGUACACGACAGAACUCGGCUUACCGAUUAUCUCAAUUC